Molecule: ribosomal RNA, 373 nt
Filed under: uncultured organism
Description: bacterial SSU rRNA
Rfam family: Bacterial small subunit ribosomal RNA
Source: RNAcentral
CGGGAGGGUGCAAGCGUUAAUCGGAAUUACUGGGCGUAAAGGGUGCGUAGGUGGUUGGAUAAGUUAUCUGUGAAAGCCCCGGGCUCAACCUGGGAAGGUCAGAUAAGACUGUUCGACUCGAGUAUAGGAGAGGGUAGUGGAAUUUCCGGUGUAGCGGUGAAAUGCGUAGAGAUCGGAAGGAACACCAGUGGCGAAGGCGGCUACCUGGCCAGAUACUGACACUGAAGCACGAAAGCGUGGGGAGCAAACAGGAUUAGAUACCCUGGUAGUCCACGCCGUAAACGAUGUCAACUAGUUGUUGGUGAUAUGAAUAUCAUUAGUGACGAAGCUAACGCGAUAAGUUGACCGCCUGGGGAGUACGGUCGCAAGAUUA